GAUGAACGCUGGCGGCGUGCCUAAUACAUGCAAGUCGAGCGAACAGACGAGGAGCUUGCUCCUCUGACGUUAGCGGCGGACGGGUGAGUAACACGUGGAUAACCUACCUAUAAGACUGGGAUAACUUCGGGAAACCGGAGCUAAUACCGGAUAAUAUAUUGAACCGCAUGGUUCAAUAGUGAAAGACGGUUUUGCUGUCACUUAUAGAUGGAUCCGCGCCGCAUUAGCUAGUUGGUAAGGUAACGGCUUACCAAGGCAACGAUGCGUAGCCGACCUGAAAGGGUGAUCGGCGACACUGGAACUGAGACACGGUCCAGACUCCUACGGGGGGCAGCAGUAGGGAAUCUUCCGCGAUGGGCGAAAGCCUGACGGAGCAACGCCGCGUGAGUGAUGAAGGUCUUCGGAUCGUAAAACUCUGUUAUUAGGGAAGAACAAAUGUGUAAGUAACUAUGCACGUCUUGACGGUACCUGAUCAGAAAGCCACGGCUAACUACGUG
This 497-nucleotide ribosomal RNA is filed under the name uncultured bacterium. Its description in RNAcentral is "partial 16S ribosomal RNA". It matches the Rfam family "Bacterial small subunit ribosomal RNA", at positions 28 to 507 of the family's 1533-position model. The record is from RNAcentral.